Molecule: long non-coding RNA, 478 nt
Organism: Magnolia sinica
Lineage: Eukaryota; Viridiplantae; Streptophyta; Magnoliopsida; Magnoliales; Magnoliaceae
Exons: 3
Source: RefSeq, a predicted model, not a curated record
AUUCAAUUUUAGCCUUGAACAAUUCUUCCAUGGGAUUUUCAAUGAAUAGGAUUAUAAAAUAUAGAGGCAGAUUGAGCUUGCAAAAAUGUUGUUGGCGGAGGGACAAAGUCAUCUUUUUGUACAUUGGCCUGAACAAGGUGUUAAUGAUGAAGAAAAGAAAAGUUUCUUUGAUCAGGUAACUCGGCUUAAUUCAAGCUAUCUAGGUGGUUUGGCAUCAUAUAUUUGAAAUGCUAGGAAUCUAUUAGCAAAUUCAAAAACAGGGAAAAAUCCAUUUAAUGGCUUUACUCCUUCGGUAAGUGAUUCCAUUAAAUUUGUUUUGCAAUCUGUGUUUCUUGUACAUUUCUGCCAGAAAUUUGUCUUCAAUUUCACUUUUUUUUUUUUUUAAAUGAGAAAGAUUUGCUCUAUGGCUACGGUCGCACUGUGGAUACUCAUCUUUAGCUACGGAUUUCAUCCGUAGCUUUUGACCACUUUUCUGGUC